Molecule: transfer RNA, 71 nt
Filed under: Cordylochernes scorpioides
Lineage: Eukaryota; Metazoa; Arthropoda; Arachnida; Pseudoscorpiones; Chernetidae
Description: tRNA-Thr
Source: RNAcentral
GUCCUGUCCUAGUGGACAUGGCAUCUGCCCGGUAAGCGGAACACUGUGGGUUCGAUUCCCAUCUUUGGACA